UCCUGGCUCAGAACGACGCUGGCGGCAGGCUUAAUACAUGCAAGUCGAGCGCCUGUAGCAAUACAGGAGCGGCGCACGGGUGCGUAACACGUGGGAAUAUGCCUUUUGGUACGGAACAACCACUGGAAACGGUGGCUAAUACCGUAUGGUCCCUCCGGGGUAAAGAUUUAUCGCCAAAAGAGUAGCCCGCGGCAGAUUAGCUAGUUGGUGAGGUAAUGGCUCACCAAGGCGACGAUCUGUAGCUGGUCUGAGAGGACGAUCAGCCACACUGGGACUGAGACACGGCCCAGACUCCUACGGGAGGCAGCAGUAGGGAAUAUUGGACAAUGGGGGAAACCCUGAUCCAGCCAUGCCGCGUGAGUGAUGAAGGCCUUCGGGUUGUAAAGCUCUUUUAUCCACGAAGAUAAUGACUGUAGUGGAAGAAUAAGCCCCGGCUAACUUCGUG
RNAcentral lists this ribosomal RNA (445 nucleotides) under uncultured bacterium. Its description in RNAcentral is "bacterial SSU rRNA". It matches the Rfam family "Bacterial small subunit ribosomal RNA", at positions 17 to 507 of the family's 1533-position model. The record is from RNAcentral.